Molecule: ribosomal RNA, 421 nt
Filed under: uncultured bacterium
Lineage: Bacteria
Description: bacterial SSU rRNA
Rfam family: Bacterial small subunit ribosomal RNA
Source: RNAcentral
UAAGGAAUAUUGGUCAAUGGACGCAAGUCUGAACCAGCCAUGCCGCGUGAAGGAUGAAGGUCCUCUGGAUUGUAAACUUCUUUUAUCUGGGACGAAAACGGGAUUUUUAUCUCAAUUGACGGUACCAGAGGAAUAAGCACCGGCUAACUCCGUGCCAGCAGCCGCGGUAAUACGGAGGGUGCGAGCGUUAUCCGGAUUUACUGGGUUUAAAGGGCGCGUAGGUGGGCUUAUAAGUCAGUGGUGAAAUCUCCGAGCUUAACUUGGAAACUGCCGUUGAUACUAUAGGUCUUGAAUUAUCUGGAGGUAAGCGGAAUAUGUCAUGUAGCGGUGAAAUGCUUAGAUAUGACAUAGAACACCAAUUGCGAAGGCAGCUUACUACAUAUAAAUUGACGCUGAGGCACGAAAGCGUGGGGAUCAAACA